UGCCUCCUGGGUUCAGGCGAUUCUCCUGCCUCAGCUUCCUGAUUAUCUGGGACUACAGGCACGCACGACCACACCUAGCUAAUUUUUGUAUUUUUUAGUAGAGAUGGGCUUUCACCAUGUUGGCCAGGAUGGUCUUGAUCUCUUGACCUUGAUCUGUCCACUUUAGUCUCCCAAAGUUCUGGGAUUACAGGCGUGAGCCACCGCACCCGGCCAGAGGUAUCUCUUUUAUUCUGUGCCUUUGUAAGUGCAAAUGUCAUUUCCUUCUAUUCUUCAGCAAGCAUAGUGCCCAGUGAUGAAGCCUUUCCUAGUCCUUUGAAAGAAAAAUAGUACAACAUAGACAGGAAUGUUUCUAUAAUUAAUGUGAUUAAAAACACAAGAAGAAGAUAAUUUACCAAGGUCUUCUUGUGUAUCAUGCCCAUAAUUCUGUUCUGUCUCUUAGGAUCGUGUCAUUUAGAAGGACCCAGAACUGGAUACCAAUUGUUGUUCUACAUGGCAAUUAUAAAUAGACAAGAAUACCAUCUAAUUUCAGUUUGGGUGCUUAUCAAUGUGCAAGGUAAUAUGAAUCGAAUCAAGCCAGUAAACAAACAAGAAGACCUGUUUCCAGAGGGCUCAGAGGGUCUUCGGAUGCCAGUGAGACCCCAGCCUCAGUUGGUGUCCUGGUUCAAAAGAAUUUGGGGAUGAGUCAGGAUGAUGUGAAAGGUAAGAAGCUUUGAUUGCAAAACGAAGUACACAGUUGAGAGAGAAGUGCAGGCAUGCUGGUGAGAACAAAUCACACACAAUUAAGUUUGGGUUUUUUAUUUUAUGGGUGUUUCUUUAAUUAGGGAGUAAAUAAUCAUUCUGAAAAAGGAGAGGAUUUUGGGGACCCUCAUUACCAUCUCCUUUCUCCCUUUUACGGAUUUGCCAGGAAGAGUUAUAGAUAUGUUAACCUGACCAGGAUUUUGGCUAUUUGUUCUCUCUUCUUUUGAAUUUUUCAGUAGCCCAUUGUUUCUUUGCCUAGUUCUUGUUUUAGCUGUUGUUUGGGGUUUUCCAUCCUCCUGUGACUGCCCAGUGCUAUUCCUAUCUCAGACCCAAGUGCAUUAAGAGAUGCAAGUCAAAACCACAUUGAGAUAUCAUCUCACGCCAGUUUGGAAUGGCGAUCAUUAAAAAAUCUGGACAGGAUGUGGAGAAAUAGGAACACGUUUACACUGCUGGUGGGAGUGUAAAUUAGUUCAACCAUUGUGGAAGACAGUGUUCCUCAAGGACUUAGAAAUAGAAAUUUUAUUUGACCCAGCAAUCUCAUUAUUGGGUAUAUAUUCAAAGGAUUAUAAAUUGCUCUACUAUAAGGACACAUGCACACAAAUGUUCAUUGCAGCACUGUUUACAAUAGCAAAGACCUGGAACCAACCCAAAUGCCCAUCGAUGAUAGACUGGACUGUGAAAAUGUGGCACAUAUACACCAUGGAAUAUUAUGCAGCAAUCAGAAAUGACGAG
This 1470-nucleotide long non-coding RNA is filed under the name Callithrix jacchus (white-tufted-ear marmoset). RNAcentral describes it as "lncRNA (ENSCJAG00000072253.1)". Lineage: Eukaryota; Metazoa; Chordata; Mammalia; Primates; Cebidae. The record is from RNAcentral.